UGAAAUUACCGGUGAGGGUUGUAGCUGGCCUUUCGGGGCAUGUGCACGCUCGAGCCUUUAAUCCAACACACACCUGUGAACCCAAUGUAAGGGCCCGUAAAAAAGGCCCCUACGUCUUUAUCACCAACUCCUGUAUUCAUAGAAUGUAAUCCAUAUCUUCGCCUUAACAAGCGUCGGUAAACUUAUACAACUUUCAACAACGGAUCUCUUGGCUCUCGCAUCGAUGAAGAACGCAGCGAAAUGCGAUAAGUAAUGUGAAUUGCAGAUUUUCAGUGAAUCAUCGAAUCUUUGAACGCACCUUGCGCCCCUUGGUAUUCCGAGGGGCAUGCCUGUUUGAGUGUCAUUAAAUUCUCAACUCCGAUUUGAUUUGUUUCUAAUCGGAGCUUGGACUUGGAGCGUGCUGGCGUCUGGUCGGCUCCUCUCAAAUGCAUCAGCGGAAUCUAACCUUUGGUUUCCGGACGUCGGUGUGAUAAUAAAGUUGCGCCGUCAUUCGACUUCAAAGUCCGCUCAUAAUGGUCUUCGGACGACUCUUAUAUCAAAUUUGACCUCAAAUCAGGUAGGACUACCCGCUGAACUUAA
This 579-nucleotide ribosomal RNA is filed under the name uncultured Piloderma. Its description in RNAcentral is "eukaryotic LSU rRNA". The stretch from base 189 to 343 matches the Rfam family "5.8S ribosomal RNA". The record is from RNAcentral. Lineage: Eukaryota; Fungi; Basidiomycota; Agaricomycetes; Atheliales; Atheliaceae.